RNAcentral lists this ribosomal RNA (467 nucleotides) under uncultured bacterium. Its description in RNAcentral is "partial 16S ribosomal RNA". It matches the Rfam family "Bacterial small subunit ribosomal RNA", at positions 28 to 506 of the family's 1533-position model. The record is from RNAcentral.
GACGAACGCUGGCGGCGUGCUUAACACAUGCAAGUCGAACGGAAAGGCCCUGCUUUUGUGGGGUGCUCGAGUGGCGAACGGGUGAGUAACACGUGAGUAACCUGCCCUUGACUUUGGGAUAACUUCAGGAAACUGGGGCUAAUACCGGAUAGGAGCUCCUGCUGCAUGGUGGGGGUUGGAAAGUUUCGGCGGUUGGGGAUGGACUCGCGGCUUAUCAGCUUGUUGGUGGGGUAGUGGCUCACCAAGGCUUUGACGGGUAGCCGGCCUGAGAGGGUGACCGGCCACAUUGGGACUGAGAUACGGCCCAGACUCCUACGGGAGGCAGCAGCGGGGAAUAUUGCACAAUGGGCGGAAGCCUGAUGCAGCAACGCCGCGUGCGGGAUGACGGCCUUCGGGUUGUAAACCGCUUUCGCCUGUGACGAAGCGUGAGUGACGGUAAUGGGUAAAGAAGCACCGGCUAACUACGU